Non-coding RNA from Anolis sagrei ordinatus, 1908 nucleotides. NCBI's taxonomy places the organism in Eukaryota, Metazoa, Chordata, Lepidosauria, Squamata, Anolidae. The record is from RefSeq and is a predicted model, not a curated record.
CAUAGAGCAGGGUUGGGAGGACAAUAGCUUUAUAAACAAGCACCUUGGUAUCCCUACGGAUGUCCCGGUCCUCAAACACUCUGCUUCAUUCGGAAAAAUGCUGCGCUUGCAGAGCUCAGGCGGUGUUGUAUUUCGGUGUCGAUGUUGACUUUGGUGGAGAGGUGGCUGCCAAGGUAGCGGAAAUGAUCCUAGAACAUAAUAACCCUAUAAAAUAAUUGUUAAAUUACAGCAUCCCAGGAUGUCAAGGAAGGAAAUCUUCCCACUUCCUUCGCUGUGAUUCCAGACAUUUUUUGUUCAUUGUUAGUUCACAGUAAUGGGCGACCAAACUGAUUUUCCAGAUGUUGUUGUACAGCGAUUCCCGGCAUUCCUUGUUUUUGGCUAUACUGGUCAGGGUAUGUGUGUUGAAAUGGUGUGUUAAAAUAAAUAUUUAUUUAACUCACAGGAAUUUAAACAAACUGACCUUUACACUAGAGCAGGCCUGCACAACCUGCAUACCUCCAGAUAUCUUCGCCUCCAACUCCCAGAAGCCCUAGCCAGCUUGUUCUACAGCCAGGAAUUCUGGGAGCUGAAGUCCAAAACACAUGGAGGGUCACAGAUUAUGCAGAUCUGCACUAGAGCCUAAUACAGCUGCUGUCCUCUUGAAACAAGUUACUGUAGAAGGAGAGGAGGACUUGAGGCAGACUCAGUCCAUCCACUCUAACCCCGUCAAAUGACUGGGAAAGGAAAUUGCUAGGAUUCAAGAGUCAUGUUUUCUUGGAAUGAGAAAAUUUCAUUAUGAGCAAAGGCUUAGCUUUGUGUUUUGUUCAUUGCAGGGGCUGAAAACAAGAUGAAAAACUGCUGUUACCAGAAUGAGGACUUGCAGCUCUUCCAAGAAAAAGAAAUCUGCACAUAUUGCCCUCUAGUUAAAGUUAUGUUUCUGGCCACACACACACACCACCCCCCUGCAAAACAAAGAUAAACAAUGACUUGCUGAGCUUGUCCUAAAAACAGUCUCCGUAAAUUACAGCACAGUAAUGUUCUCUGAACCAAUCCUUCUUCUGAAGCUACAAAUAACAAUUAUUAUGCAUUUAGGUACAGGUUAGCCAGGCUGUAGUAUUGCACUCUUAAAAACAAACAUCAUAUUUGACAAGACUGAACAGGUAUGUAGCACAGAUGAAAACUGAAGACCUAAAGUGAUUGAUUCUCCAAGGUCCCACACUGCAGAAAUGUCACUAAAAACCAAGUUCCCCAGAUUUAUGUAAAGCAGACAAGCACCAAGAUUGCAGGAACAGAAACUUACAACUCACCUGCAAAACACUUGAGGGAGAGAAUAAAAUGUUGCAGCUGAGUCAAGAAACUGUCAGAAAACAGAAACAUCAUUUGGCAAUUAAAUGGAGAACUAUUACAAUAAUAAGUCCUGUAUCCUGAAACAUUUGCCUCCUCUGAAAGAGACCAGCUCAACUUAUUUCAGUUGAAUCAUUUCAUCUCUGUGAACAACUCUGGCUUUUGUAGCCUAAUUGCUUCUCUCUUUUUUUGAAGCAUGACUCAUAUGAAAAAGUCAUGCAGAAAUAACAUCCUUGUUUAGCAGGAGCCUAACACUGAGAAUUGCUUUUCACUUCCUUACAAAACCAAAAACGUGAUCUCCCUCUCACACGCACUGCUCUCCAAGCUAGAAGGCUGUAAUUUGGAGUUGACUCACAGGGUGGAACGUAAGCAGCAAUUUCACUUGUCCAAGAAAUCUGUCAGACACGGAAGCUAAUUUCAGUGAGCCACCCGCAUAGAUUUGGCUGACGAUAUGUCCAAGAUGGUGGUGUGCUACUGGCAAGACAGACUUUGUGCAGCUUUCUUGAUUCACUGAAAUGCCUUUGUGACUCGACUUCUUUAUAUAAUACCAUAAAACCAAAUAAAAAUGGAGGCUGUUUGAGGUUA